This is a non-coding RNA of Coturnix japonica (Japanese quail), 4189 nucleotides long. NCBI's taxonomy places the organism in Eukaryota, Metazoa, Chordata, Aves, Galliformes, Phasianidae. The record is from RefSeq and is a predicted model, not a curated record.
UUUUCAAAUGAAUUGUCUUCAUCUGCUUUUAUACCCCCAUUGCCUUAGCUUUAUAGGAAAAUUUGCACAAUCUUAUUGCUUAUGAAAAAGCAAGAAAAAAAGCUAAUAUGUUUCAAUAUGAUUGAAGAUGGGUUUUUCUUCUGUGAGCUCAAGAGUUAUGUGGCAACAGGACCAAAAUAAUGUCAUGCAACAGACCAAUAAUCACUAAUGACAUUGUUCAAAUAUGCCACCGUGCAAAUGAACUACACUAUGUUGUGGAUCGAAUAUAGGAAAAUUAUGUAACUUAUAUCACAAACAACAAACUCUGUAGGAAAAAAAAAAAAAAAAGAGAGGGAAAUGUACCAAAUACUGCAGUUUCUGCCAGUUAUUUUAUUGAAACAAUUAAGAAUAUUUUUCUUUUAAAUUGCAUUCAGUUAAUGUGCAUUUAUGAAUGUGAUGUCAGUAAGAAUAGAGUGUAUUAGUCAAAUCUGUGUUCGAGGAAUAUGAAUAGUAUUUAUUAACCAUAAAAUUCCCAUGAUGUUAAUAGAUAUACUAGCAUAGUUUUUUAAGUAUUUUGAAAAGAAGGAAAAAAAAAUUAUGAAGGAGUGACUUCUAAGUGAAUUUUACAAAAAAAAAUCAACAUUAAAUAAAUGCAAUUUUUCAUCUGGAUCUAAUCUAAAGUUUCAUGAAAUUUUUCUGUUGAACAAUUAUUCAGAGAGAGGUUGAAUAAAUAUAGUGGUAAAAGCCACAAUGAAGUUUUCCCGAUGAUUUGAAAAAUAAGCAGAAAAGACACUUCUAUCUCCAUCUAUAAGAAAGAUUACUAAUUUCGUUUGUAUUAGUGUUCCACUUUUCUUUUUAAUUUCUUUUAUGGAACAUUUCAGAUUAUAUAAGACUGCAGAAGGGCUGAAAUUUUCAAAGCUACUUUUUGAAUUUAUUGUCAUUAUUAUUAUUAUUUUAAUGAGCAGAUCUGAAGUUUGGAACAAUUCAUUUUCCUAAAUUACAAGUCUUUGGUGUGAUAAUGAGUAUGGGGAUUCCUGUUCCAGCCCAGAUAACUGUUCACCUCAGGAAUGCGCUAUAGAUCCUCUGCCCUCCCAGGAAGACCUACAUGUUUAGAGAAUGCACAGUUAAUUUAAAUCUAUGAGGAAGAACACAAAAGGCAGAUGAUGAUGAUAAAGAAAUAGUAGAGGGGAGAAGAGAGGUUUCUUGCAAUUCUUUCACCCAAGAUGUAACUGUGUUUACACAUAAUAUAUGCUAAAAUCUCAGUUUUAAUAAAUAUCUGGCUUCUAAUGAUGUAGAAAACAAGAUGCACCGUGCCAGUAUUUUACAGCGUGUGAAUGUUUUAUGUAGUUGUCUAUAAAAUGUAACCAGAGAGUUACAAAAACUCAUUAUGGGUAUGAGCUGAAGGGAAAAAAACGUGGUUUAAUUUUGGGAUGUGCUAAUGUGAACGGAAGUCACAAGAGUAGUUGUUUUACUAUAUAAGAAAGGGUUUUUUUUGUUUGUUUGGUUGGUUGUUGGUUUUUUGUUGUUGUUGUUGUUGUUGUUUGUUUGUUUUUGUUUUGCAGUGUCAUCUCAUACACACCUGUUGGAGAAUGAUAUAGCCAAAGAGAAGAAAGCCAAAGAGGAGAGUUCUGUGAUAAAUAAAUCACCCAGCCCCACUGAUUGGACUCAAGUGGGAAGGCAUCAUGGUAGUUGGCACUGUGUAGGAGGAUGCUUUCAACAGUGAAACUAUUUGAGGAAAAAGCAGGUGCACUGCAGUAAUGUAAUGACAAAAGUAAUGGAAGGAGCCCAGCCUCUCCUUGAAGCAGCAGAGACUGUCAGCCUCCUAUGGCCAAGUGACAGCAGCACUGAGAUCUUGGUGCUUUAUGCCUCCUCCAACACUUCCAUGUGAUUGAAGUGACUUUGUCCUUGCUGGUGCCUUCAGUCCCUGAAGGAAGGUACCUUUUGGGACCUGAAAUGCUGUCUUUGCUGCAAUGCCACCAGCAGCUACAGUUUUCCUCCUGCUAAAUCCUUGUGAAACAAUAUGUGUUAUGUUUUGCUUUAUAAAUAAUCAGUUUUCGUAAACUUAUAUGUCAGCUGUUUGACAAGCACAUUGUUCCACGGUAAUAAAUACAAGUCUGUGUCCAAACAUCACAAGUAAAAAAAAUAAAUCCUUUGGGGCUACAACUUCAUGUUCAGCAGAUGAGGUUCUGUUCAACCUGGAGCUCUGUAACUGUGAUGAACACAGAACAGCAGAGGAGGAAAUCUUCCCUCUACUUUGCCCCCCUCGACAACGUUUUCAAGAAAAGAUCAGACAGUUUUUUAAUGCCUGGGGAAAAACAGAACGUGACCCACAGUCUAUUUAGGCAGUUCCAUUUCUGCUUGCUAUUUUUAAAAGCAUACACAAUAUUUAAAAAUAAUUAGCUCAAGCCCAUUUGUGUGCAAUGUAUAUAUUGCACAUAUGUCUAGACAGAACAAGAAACAACAUAAUCACAACCUUACUACACUAAAGGCCUUGGCAUAAGAACCACUGAGAGAGUGAAAGCCAAAGAGAUUGUACCUGUCAUAUGUAUUUCCCUCAUCUAAAUGUAUUAAAACAAAACAAAAACAAACUUUUAUUUUGCUCAGAGUUUAACCCUGUGUACAUAGUAGUUAUUUCAGUCUUUACUACAGUUAUUAAUGUUCACGUACAGUAAAACAUGAGACAGAAAACUGUAUGUCUUCUUUUUCUGCAACUUCAAAUUUCAUCUGUUCCUUGUGGAAAGGAAAUGUAUCUUCAGAUAAGCACACACAUUUUUUUCCCUGAAUGUCUCUGUGUGGCAAGGAAGGCUGUAUGGAGCAAAAGUGGGUUUUAUUCUGCAAAUGUGAGCAUGUGUAUCUGCAGUCUUCUGUCCCUUUAAAAUUUAAUUACACAGUAUAAUAAGGUUGCUAUGUAUGUAUAAUAUUAUCAUAUUUAGUGAAUCAUAGGGCUGGAUAUAAGGAAGAAUCUCUAUUGAGUCAAAAUCUCCCAGAGGCGUUACUAGAGCUUGGACUGGCACAUGGCUAAUGCUUUUCUAUUUCUUUUCAUUCAACACCAAGGCUAACUAUACUUGCAAAGAAAAAGAUCCAGUUGAAUAAAAUCCAUAAGAAGCCUGCUGUAAUUACAUAAUUUGAGUAAAUUUAUGCCUUAGGACUUCCUUAAGAAUAGAAAUUUUCUGAACAGAAACAGUGUAUUUCUAGGGAGUGCAAGUAAGGAGCUUCAAAGCACUCCUUAUCUCAGUGAUCUUGCAGGAGUUGGGUUAGAUUUUCCCUGCUAUAGAGUACACUUCUUCACUUUGCAGCACACUGUAAACACACUUUUCAUGGCAAUGUCUUGUUUUGUUUAGUUUCACAGAAUAUGCAUUGGUAAUUUGUGCAUCACAUGCUGGCAAGCAGUAUCGCAGUGCACACUUGCUAAUGUGAGACAGAAACCUCAGUGUAUUCUAGCCCUCUUCUCAUAUCUUGUUAGCAUCUGUUAUUGGUAGGCUGAGGUGAUGAGGUGCUAAUAUGAUACAGCAAAGGAAGUGUAAUCCAUGAACAUUUUUGUGUCACAUUUGUGUAAUAUAUUACACUAAUCUGACCAGACUUUCAUGUGCUCUUACCCAAGGAAUGCCAUUCCACCCUCCUCCCUUCCCCCAUCAAUACCUUUGAAGGUUUGUGAACGAUUUCCUGUACACAGCCCGUGUAAGAAUGUGCACACAUUCUUUCCAUGGUUGAGGAAGGAGUGCUUUUUAUUCCUGCUUGCUCUCAGUGUAACAAUGUUCAUGAACAAAUUGCACUAAAGAGCAAAGCAUGUUCAAUUAUAUUCUUUCACAGCUGAGAGGUAAAUGAAGUAGAAGGUGCAUUCUUUCCAAUAAACUUCAGAUCCAUUCAGCAUGCUUCAUGCAGUGUCUAGGGGCAAUUUUUUAGCAUAACUUUUAUAAGGCAACAGUGUGCAGGUUGUAGAGCAAAACAAGUGGGAUAUGUGAACUGGCAGCCAUUGUGUUUUUUUUCUAAGAGAUACAGUCAACCUGUGGCAUCUUGCAGACCUUAUUACCUAUCCUUAGACAAUUUGCCAGGUCUGUUUUUCAGAUCCAUGAUUAGUUUUGCCCUAGACUAUCCAUUCUUCAGCAAUAGCUGUCUCUUCCUAUGCAUCUACACAGCUUUAACACAUUGGUCUCCUACUCCCAACUGAAACUACUUGUCAGUACUGCAAUCAAAACAAAUGCAGUAAAAA